CGAUGUGGAGCUCAAACCCACACACCACAGGAUCAUGACCUGAGCCGGAGUCAGAUUCUCAACUGACUGAGCCACCCACGCACCCUGGGUAUAUAUAAUUUUAAAAAUUUUAUUUUGUAAGAUAUUUUAGUGAACACUUUAAACAUAGAUAAUCCCAAAUAAAAUACCAGAGAAUGAUUCAUUCUUUCAUAUGUUUAUUGACUGCUAAUAUUUUACGUUAAAAUUCUGUAGCACUUUUAUGAAUGCACUUUUUCAUUGUUCAUUGUUAUCAUUAUCAUUCCACUGUUCUUAGUCAUUUACAGGUCCAAAAUUUAGCUAUUAAGCAGUACUGUGAUGUAUAUCUUUAUAGCCAAUAUCCUGUGCAUAACCGUAUCAUGUAAGUCUGUUGUUAAAGUCGCUCACAUACCUUAUGUAUUCUCUGAAUUCUUUAUUUUUAUUUUGUUUAUCUAAAGUGUAAUCUCUUAAAAAAGAACUUCAUGGAGAAUUCAUAUUUUUUACAAAGGGAGAAGUUGGAUUUUUGACCCUACUUCCGAACUCUUACUGGAAUUUCUAGGUCUGGGAACUUGUUGAUGAAGAGAAAUACCUCUCAUCCACUAAAAUCAGGCUUCACGCCCAGCAUGGAGCCCAGCGAGGGGCUUGAACCAACAACCCUGAGAUCAAGACCUGAGUUGAGAUUAAAGAGUCGGACACCCAACUGACUGAGCCACCCAGGCGCCCCAGUGAAUUUGUCUUUGUUUACAAUAUGUUAAAAGAAUGAGUCUUACAAUGAAAAAGGUGGAGAUUCAUUUUUUGUAUGUGACCAAAGUGCGAAUGACUAAUUGUAAAGGGCACGUGUUUCUUUUUAUAGUAAUAUAAUCAUGACAAUAUUAAUAAGCACAAGUUAGUUUUCUAUAUUCCAGACAUUCACUUAUUUAAAUGUCAGACGUGCAAAUUCUACAUAGUUUUAUCUGAAAAUGCCUUGAUUUUAUUUCCACUCUUUAAAGAUAUUUUUGGUGGAUAUAAGAUUUUGGGGUGAUUUUUGUUGUUAUUUUUAUUUAAGCAUUUAAAAAAUGUUCCAUAUUUUCUGGCUUUUGUUAUUUCUGAUGAAAAUUCCACUGUCAUUCCAAUCAUUGUUUGUGUGCAGUGUGUUUUUUUUCUCCCAACUAUUUUAUUUUUUUAUUUUUUUGCUUUUUAGCAUUUUAAUUGUGAUUAACCUCGCUGUCACUUUCUUUACAUUAAUCUUGAUGUUCAUGAAAUUUAUUGCAUCUGUAGAUUUGUCUUCAUUUGGGAAAAGUUUGGCCAUUUUUUCUUGAAAAUUUUUAUGCCUCAUUCUUUUUCUUUCUCUCCUUCUGAGACUCUAAUUAAAAAUGUAGGCCUUUUGAUAUUUUCCCAUGGGUCUUUGAGACUGUUGAUAUUUUCACCUUAAAAAAAUUCUUCUGAUUAAUUUCUUGGAUCUGUCUUCCCAUUCAUAAACGUUUCUCUUUCUUUUCUCUGUUCUAUUGUUAAGCCCAUGUAGUGGUUUAAAAAAUUUUCAGAUAGUAUAUUUUGUAGUUCUUGAAUUUCCAUUUUCUUUUCAGUCUUUACUGAAAUUUUUUAUCUUCCUUUAUGAUGAACAUCUAUAUUUUGUUAAGUUCUUGAGCAUAGUGAUAAUAACCGCUUGAAAAUCCUUGCCUGUAAAUUAUACCAUUUGGGUCAACAAAGGGUGUGUCCAUGAUUAUGUGAUUAUUUUUUUCUCUUGAGAAUGGGUUGUGUUUUCCUGUUUUCUUCCUGGGAAUAAUUUUGGAUUGCAUUCUGGAUAUUGUGAAUGGCAAGUUGUAGAAGCUUUGGAUUUGGUUAUGUUCCUUUGAAGAGUAUGGAUUUUGCUUCUUCUUUUUUUUAAAGCAGGAACGAACUGAACUCAAAGUGCAAAACUCUUUCCCCCAUGAUGGGUGGCAGCUCAAAUUUCAGUUCAGUUCUGUUAGCUGCUCUGCUUGGAUUCUGUACUGUGCCUGUGUGUGCUGGGCAUUAGCUAGAGAUUUAGGCAGAGUUUUAUGCAGAUUUUAGGGCUCUGGUUCUCCCGCUGUCUUUUUUAUGGUGUUCUGCCUUAUUUUCCAGUGGUGCUUUGAAUGCUGUUCUUCAAGCCAGCAGAACCUUUUGGAGUUUAGCUGCCCUGCAUGGCACAAGAUUAAAAGAUAAAAAUUGGGGAAAAUUGUGCAGCGUCUUUCCUUUCUUCCAAGUGUCAGCUCCCCUCCGAUGUCUGCUGCUUUUGUUUACUCUCCAGUGCCCACAAGUGGUUGCUUUUUUUUUUUUUUUUUUUU
Molecule: long non-coding RNA, 2276 nt
Organism: Felis catus (domestic cat)
Lineage: Eukaryota; Metazoa; Chordata; Mammalia; Carnivora; Felidae
Exons: 2
Source: RefSeq, a predicted model, not a curated record